GGACAUGUACAUAAAUCUCUGCCGGGCUUCUAGCAUGCCCCUGUGGCUAUCACCCCUGCUGAAAGCUGCUGGGAGACUGAAGACCGACCGCGCCAGGCGUAAAUUGGCAUACAGGCUAAUACAGCGUCAGCUGGUUCUCCACAGAGUUGGCUGCACCGAUGAAAACUGCCGGCCAACGUACAUAUAUCCAGCCGAGCUAAAAGAGCUGAUUCGUGCCGCCUUCCCAGACAAAAUCCGCAAUUACCCCGACCCAUGUAAUGAAAAGAUAUAUGCAGUCACAUUGGAUGAUCUCCAUAAUGUGAGCCCUGCUAAUCAGAGUGGAUGCGCUGAGGUGGGCCAUUCCGUAUCAUGAGAUCUAAUCAUUUCUCAGAAUAUGCUAGCUUGUGUUGGUGAGACAGUCCAUGCAAAUGAUUAAAGAAAUGUACGAGGUAACCACUUUAUUGUAAUUGAACAGUUGCCAAGGUACUGGUGAGUGGAUUUCAAUACAGUGUCACAAGUGUUCGUGUGCUUAUACAUAUAUGAAUAAAUGAGAUUCAGCCGCUCGCCAUGUUAGCUAGUAGGCUAACUUAUUGUACAGGGCUAUAGCUAAUGCGAAUUAGUAUAUAUUUUCUUAGAGUGCAUAUCAUAAUGAUUUCAUUGCAACCCCGUAUCAAGGGGGCACACGUUGUUGUUUCCCCAGCCACACAAUUUGAAUUUCAUCAGCGGGUGAUUAUUGUAGUCCAAGUGUAUUUGCAGUUCUUAUACUUUAAACGCC
This is a long non-coding RNA of Clupea harengus (Atlantic herring), 754 nucleotides long. NCBI's taxonomy places the organism in Eukaryota, Metazoa, Chordata, Actinopteri, Clupeiformes, Clupeidae. The record is from Ensembl.